AAUUCAUCAUCUUCUUGUUCUGCAGCAUCUCCUUGAAAUAAUCAGAAGACUUUGGCAAGAAUGCCUAUUUGUAGGCUGCAGCAGGACAUUUGCAACUGAUGUCAUAUUCACUGCAUGCUUUCAAACUGUUAGGUUGGCAGGAGCUCAGGC
Long non-coding RNA from Sceloporus undulatus (fence lizard), 150 nucleotides. RefSeq lists it as uncharacterized. The transcript has 3 exons. Lineage: Eukaryota; Metazoa; Chordata; Lepidosauria; Squamata; Phrynosomatidae. The record is from RefSeq and is a predicted model, not a curated record.